RNAcentral lists this ribosomal RNA (396 nucleotides) under uncultured bacterium. Its description in RNAcentral is "bacterial SSU rRNA". It matches the Rfam family "Bacterial small subunit ribosomal RNA", at positions 357 to 770 of the family's 1533-position model. The record is from RNAcentral.
GGGAAUAUUGCGCAAUGGAGGAAACUCUGACGCAGUGACGCCGCGUAUAGGAAGAAGGUUUUCGGAUUGUAAACUAUUGUCGUUAGGGAAGAUAAAAGACUGUACCUAAGGAGGAAGCCCCGGCUAACUAUGUGCCAGCAGCCGCGGUAAUACAUAGGGGGCAAGCGUUAUCCGGAUUUAUUGGGUUUAAAGGGUGCGUAGGCGGAAUGCCAAGUCAGCGGUAAAAUCGCGGGGCUCAACCUCGCUCCGCCGUUGAAACUGGCGUUCUUGAGUGGGCGAGAAGUAUGCGGAAUGCGUGGUGUAGCGGUGAAAUGCAUAGAUAUCACGCAGAACUCCGAUUGCGAAGGCAGCAUACCGGCGCCCAACUGACGCUGAAGCACGAAAGCGUGGGUAUCG